Molecule: long non-coding RNA, 2251 nt
Organism: Homalodisca vitripennis (glassy-winged sharpshooter)
Lineage: Eukaryota; Metazoa; Arthropoda; Insecta; Hemiptera; Cicadellidae
Exons: 3
Source: RefSeq, a predicted model, not a curated record
GGAUGGUCUGGAAGUCGUCUAGGAAGAUAUCUCGUAUCUUCCUGUUUCUUGAAGUUUCAGAGACAAUAGAAUACUAGACAUUACAGUUAAAUAUCUGCAGAGCUACAUAGGAAAUAUCACAGGGUGCAGUUAUCAGAGGGAUUCUGUAAUUACAUAUUAUCGUCAAGUUAGGAUACACUUUGUGCAACGUGCUCAUGGACGCUGUGUCUGGAGAUGGAGAGAGGCCCAACGUGCAGAGACAGCAUGUUACAGAGCUGCAGAACUGAAUAGUGCAUUCUUUUUCAAGAAGUGUCAAUUAAUGGAUCAGGUAGACCAUGUCACCAUUGUGGCUCAUCAGGCACCUCUGGCGUAAAAUUGGUGAAUUGCAGACAUUUUUUUGAGCAGAUGGAUGCACAAAAUUUGCCAUAUAUGAAUGAUGAACUUGAAUACUUGGAAAAUCAUCUGACAAGUUAUGGUAAAACAGAUGAUAUAAAAAAAGGACAAAGCAUUCAUUUUUUAAAUGUUAAAAGUAAUAUAAGCAAAGGUAAUAAAAAGCACACAAUAUAGAAGAUAUAUCUUUGUAAACAAACAAUUCUUGGUUAGCAGGAAUGUUUGAAAUCCCAUGAAAUGUUUAGUGACCCAAAAUCGCCCAGCUCGACUCAGCAAAUCAUUUGGGGAAUUAAGUGAGAGAAGUGGAGGAAAAAUGAGGAACAUCAUUCUGCUGUGGACGAAGACAUAAUUGUUAUGCAGCGUACGCUGUUUUACAAAAGGGUAAAUGCUUCAAAAAUGAUUAAAGAUAACCAGUUUCCCAAAUAAGUGUGAACGAAUAUAAAAAACAUUUCUGAAACAAAGGAAGAUAUUCUCCUGAUACCACAGCAAGUGUUGAUACUGUUUGUCAAUACCAAUUUAAUGAAAUAAUAAGAGCUCCAAACAAAAAUGUUACCCACUUUAUGAAUUACUCUUGAAGACUAAAAGAACGUUAUCUUCCUUGGAAUCGGUAAGUAUAAUUGCUACCAGUGCUGAAAGUGACAAGUCUCUAAUGAAUUCUACGGUUAUCAAUUUACCUGGAAGAUGUCUUAGCCAUACUAACUGAAAAUGGGAGAAAUUCGCUAGGGCUAAUUUACAAAUGUGGUUUGUGGUGGGUCAAAAUAAGCUCAUUUCAAGCAGAAAUUUACCAACAAUAAAGACUUAGACGCUAAUAUAAUUGUUAGUUCCUUUGUGAUAUUUAACUUGCUUAUUGUUUUUGUAAAAGAGAAGAGAAGAAAAAAAUUUGUUUAGCAACUUACAGACUCCCUUCAAUCUGAAGGAGUAAAUGUAACCUUUUUUGGGUAACGUGUCAUCUUGGAAUUUCUAGAAAGGAGCUGGCAAAUAAAGGAGCUAAAGAAGCUUGUACACUUCAACCUUUCUCCACAAGGAUCAGACAUUGUCUCUGUGAUGAAGGCGAAAAUAAAAAUUGCGUGGAGUUACAAUCGGCGGGCUGUUGAUAAUAACAUGCUAAGAUUAAAAGGACAAGUGUUAUACCAUAGAACACAGCGUCCCGGCGGAAUGGUUAUAAGGAGGUAGUGUUGUGUCGUCUUCGACUAGGACACUCUGUUGACUCACGGCUACAUCAUAAGCAUCCGGCUAAUAUGCACCAUAUGCAACACUACUGUUAUAGUGUCCCUAUUCCACAUGCAACACUACUGUUAUAGUGUCCUUAUUCCACAUGCAACACUACUGAUGUAGUGUCCCUAUUCCAAAUGCAUCACUACUGUUGUUGUGUCCCAAUUCCAAAUGCAACACUACUGUUGUAGUGUCCCUAUUCCUCGUGCAACACUACUGUUGUAGUGUCCCUAUUCCUCGUGCAACACUAUUGUUGUAGUGUCCCUAUUCCAAAUGCAACACUAAUGUUGUAGUGUCCCUAUUCCACAUGCAACACUAAUGUUGUAGUGUCCCUAUUCCUCAUGCAUCACUACUGUUGUAGUGUCCCUAUUCCACAUGCAACACUACUGUUGUAGUGUCCCAAUUCCAAAUGCAACACUACUGUUGUAGUGUCCCUAUUCCUCGUGCAACACUACUGUUGUAGUGUCCCUAUUCCUCGUGCAACACUACUGUUGUAGUGUCCCUAUUCCUCGUGCAACACUACUGUUGUAGUGUCCCUAUUCCACAUGCAACAAUACUGUUGUAUCCCAAUUCCAAAUGCAACACUACUCUUGUAGUGUCCCUAUUCCUCGUGCAACACUACUGUUGUAGUGUCCCUAUUCCACAUGCAACACUACUGUUGUAGUGUCCC